This 75-nucleotide non-coding RNA is filed under the name Helicobacteraceae bacterium. RNAcentral describes it as "c-di-GMP sequence". It matches the Rfam family "c-di-GMP-I-GGC riboswitch aptamer". Lineage: Bacteria; Pseudomonadati; Campylobacterota; Epsilonproteobacteria; Campylobacterales; Helicobacteraceae. The record is from RNAcentral.
UCUGAUAAAGCCAAACCAUUCGCGAGGGUGGGACGGAAAGCUACGGAUCUGAUACAGACUGCCGGGUUGCCAGCU